GCUGCUCCUUUCCCGGUCGGUAGGUUGUCUAUGAUGGCGGUUUUAUUAGGGUUAUGCUGCCAGUGUGAAGUAAAAUGUCGGAGAAAAAAGUAGACGAAAGAAAGAAGACUUGAGAAUAAAGGCGAUUGCUUCUCUUCAUUUGAGAAUCAAGUGCGAAUGGAAACUUCAAACCAGUGAAGAAUGGGAGUCACUGAAAAUGGGACCAACUACGGCUAACUUAGCUUUGUUGUUGAUGGAUUGGGACUGUGUCGAAAGAACGAGAACAUUCUGUGGGUUUUUCACCAUCACCAAUUCGCAGAUUCAAGCAGGUAACCCAUCGUCUUGGCCCUAGUGAAAAACGCAGGUGAGUUUUCUUCUUUUGAGAUGAUUCAAUUUUAAAUUUCCUGUGCACACUUCAAAAUUUAAUCUGAAUUUUGAUUUCAUAGCUAGUCCAUAUGAAUCCAAUAUUAUUACAAGUUAUUGCUGGAAUAGCUUCGAGGGUAGUUACUUUUAGACAUAAAAAUAAAUGAAAGGGACUCUUGGGUCAGCAAAAGUGAGGCCGACUGAAAUAGACAAUUGGCUGGCUAUAUUUUGAAUUUAAAUUUUUGACGUUUUAUUUUUCUGAUGGGAAUCGUAUUUUUUUAUCAAAUCAGGACGUUUUCUGAGUUGAUUAUGCGAUCAUACAUGUGAAUUAUAUUUUUCAGAGUAGUGUAGAAGGAAUUUAAUAAUUUUUUUGCCAAAUACUGCAACAAUGAGACGGGGAUGUCUGAAAUUUUGUACCCGUUUUCUGAGUUAAUUUUGCGAUGUUGAUCAUAUUUUUCAGAGCAGUGCAGACGGUAUUUAAUAAGUCUUUCAUUGUAUAAAAAGAACAGAAAUUUGUCCAUUCUAACUAGAUUGGUAUAUUAUGAACAUCUUUAGUUCAAUGAUUAUGAAAGAAUGUAAUCAUGUGAAAUUCAUUUUAGUUCUAAUCUAUAUGUUGCACCUUUUCAUGAAAUUUUAAAUAUUUUCCUUCUACUUCCAAUCAAUACUGAAUUUUAAGUUAAUUAAGGAGCGUUGUCCAAAAAAAAAAGGGUUAAUUCUUUCUAUAUUUCUAUUAUAUACAAAAUACAUACAUAUAAUACAAUAUACAAGUUUACAUUUCUAUAAUAUCAUGACAUGUCAACAAUUU
Molecule: long non-coding RNA, 1147 nt
Organism: Coccinella septempunctata (seven-spotted ladybird)
Lineage: Eukaryota; Metazoa; Arthropoda; Insecta; Coleoptera; Coccinellidae
Exons: 3
Source: RefSeq, a predicted model, not a curated record